Molecule: non-coding RNA, 85 nt
Organism: Albula goreensis
Lineage: Eukaryota; Metazoa; Chordata; Actinopteri; Albuliformes; Albulidae
Source: the annotation of a GenBank genome assembly
ACCAGGAUGGCCGAGUGGUUAAGGCGUUGGACUUAAGAUCCAAUGGAAGUUUGUGUCCUCGUGGGUUCGAAUCCCACUCCUGGUA